CAUUAUCAUGGAACCUUUUGAGUCUCCUUGAAACCUUAGCUUCAACACUUCCCAUGCUUCUCUUGACGUUUCAGUCACCGACAGGUGUAGCUAGCUUAGGUGAUUCUGGAAUUCCCUCAGUUACUAUCUUCCACAACCCCUUAGACUUAAGGAUUGCCUUCAUCUUAAUGACCCAUAAGCUAUAGUUGUUCCCAUCACACACUGGAACCACUAAUCUUCAAGCUUCAAGGCCACCAAGACCAUCUAGCUCUGAUACCAUGUU
Molecule: long non-coding RNA, 262 nt
Organism: Camelina sativa (false flax)
Lineage: Eukaryota; Viridiplantae; Streptophyta; Magnoliopsida; Brassicales; Brassicaceae
Source: RefSeq, a predicted model, not a curated record